RNAcentral lists this ribosomal RNA (253 nucleotides) under uncultured bacterium. RNAcentral describes it as "partial 16S ribosomal RNA". It matches the Rfam family "Bacterial small subunit ribosomal RNA", at positions 524 to 776 of the family's 1533-position model. The record is from RNAcentral.
GACGUAGGGCGCGAGCGUUGUCCGGAUUUAUUGGGCGUAAAGAGCUCGUAGGCGGCUUGUCGCGUCGGCCGUGAAAACUUGGGGCUCAACCCCGAGCUUGCGGUCGAUACGGGCAGGCUGGAGUUCGGUAGGGGAGACUGGAAUUCCUGGUGUAGCGGUGAAAUGCGCAGAUAUCAGGAGGAACACCGGUGGCGAAGGCGGGUCUCUGGGCCGAUACUGACGCUGAGGAGCGAAAGCGUGGGGAGCGAACAGG